RNAcentral lists this unclassified non-coding RNA (207 nucleotides) under Hevea brasiliensis (rubber tree). Lineage: Eukaryota; Viridiplantae; Streptophyta; Magnoliopsida; Malpighiales; Euphorbiaceae. The record is from RNAcentral.
CGAGGAUGUUUGUUCUUGUCCUCAUUUUGCCACUGCGAAGUAGUGUUUUCUAAUUUUCAUUGAGUGCUCGGGGAGAAUUAUGCCUGAAUUGGCUGAUUUUUGGACUUAUUGAAGUAGAAUGGCUGAAUAAUCUAAGAGCUGGUCUAGCUUUUUUAAAUCUGUGCUGCAUCACUGAUAUGAUGGUUAAGGAAAAUUUGCUGCAGAGAG